This 497-nucleotide ribosomal RNA is filed under the name uncultured bacterium. RNAcentral's name for it is "partial 16S ribosomal RNA". It matches the Rfam family "Bacterial small subunit ribosomal RNA", at positions 28 to 507 of the family's 1533-position model. The record is from RNAcentral.
GAUGAACGCUGGCGGCGUGCCUAAUACAUGCAAGUCGAGCGAACGGACGAGAAGCUUGCUUUUCUGAUGUUAGCGGCGGACGGGUGAGUAACACGUGGAUAACCUACCUAUAAGACUGGGAUAACUUCGGGAAACCGGAGCUAAUACCGGAUAAUAUUUUGAACCGCAUGGUUCAAAAGUGAAAGACGGUCUUGCUGUCACUUAUAGAUGGAUCCGCGCUGCAUUAGCUAGUUGGUAAGGUAACGGCUUACCAAGGCAACGAUGCAUAGCCGAACUGAGAGGGUGAUCGGCCACACUGGAACUGAGACACGGUCCAGACUCCUACGGGAGGCAGCAGUAGGGAAUCUUCCGCAAUGGGCGAAAGCCUGACGGAGCAACGCCGCGUGAGUGAUGAAGGUCUUCGGAUCGUAAAACUCUGUUAUUAGGGAAGAACAUAUGUGUAAGUAACUGUGCACAUCUUGACGGUACCUAAUCAGAAAGCCACGGCUAACUACGUG